AGUUAGUCGUGGACACAGAGAGCUGGACACGAGUGAGAGUUGUAACGAACUAAAUACAGUGUUUAUCGUGUCAUUUUGUUAAUGUCGGACUGUGAAGUGUUGUUGUUGUUGAUUUGUGUGAGUUUGGGACUGUUUACAGAGAGCUAGAGGAGUGAGUUGAGCCGCCGCCAUCUUGGGAGAGACGUCAGUGGUUGUUUCACCUGAACAGGCGAGGGUGGAGGCUGUGGUUGGGAGGAGCUUCAGCGGUCGUAGCGGGUGAUUUGCCGGGUCCUGAGGAUGGUCUGCGGUUCCCUCUCUGCUCAGACAGCAGGUGGGCGUGGCCAUGACGUGUGUCACCUGCACGCUCUACCUGCAGGCUCCACCCCUCACCUAAAGCAAACGGAACAUUUCCAGGUGAGGACGAAUCUCCGACCGUGUGCUGCAUGUGUGAAAGGGGAAACAGUGGAGAAAGUCCGGAGCUGAUCCUCUGGACAGUUGAUGUGUGAAAACGGCUUCAGAGUGUCCAGUGAAGCUGCAUGUGUUUGGACUGUGGGAGGAAGCCGGAGGAGCCGGAGGAAACACACACAGGCACAGGGAGAACAUGCAGACUCCACACAGAGAAGCUGAACCGAGGUUCGAGCAAAACAACAUGUCAGGACUUUGUGGACGAGCUCUGUGUCUCUGAGAGGUCGUGAACUCACUCCUGUGUGAACUCUGUAACGGAGCCGAGCGUCGUCAGCAUCUGCUCCAACGAGAAGAUCUUAAAGGCCAG
This is a long non-coding RNA of Lates calcarifer (barramundi perch), 751 nucleotides long. RefSeq lists it as uncharacterized. Lineage: Eukaryota; Metazoa; Chordata; Actinopteri; Centropomidae. The record is from RefSeq and is a predicted model, not a curated record. The transcript is spliced from 3 exons.